Molecule: ribosomal RNA, 503 nt
Filed under: uncultured bacterium
Lineage: Bacteria
Description: partial 16S ribosomal RNA
Rfam family: Bacterial small subunit ribosomal RNA
Source: RNAcentral
AUUGAACGCUGGCGGCAGGCUUAACACAUGCAAGUCGAACGGUAGCACAGAGAGCUUGCUCCCGGGUGACGAUUGGCGGACGGGUGAGUAAUGUCUGUGAAACGGCCCGAUGGAGGGGGAUAACUACUGGAAACGGUAGCUAAUACCGCAUAACGUCGCAAGACCAAAGUGGGGGACCUUCGGGCCUCACACCAUCGGGUGUGCCCAGAUGGGAUUAGCUAGUAGGUGGUGUAUGGGGCACCUAGGCGACGAUCCCUAGCUGGUCUGAGAGGGUGCCCAGCCACCCUGGAACUGAGACACGGGCGAAACUCCUACGGAGGGCAGCAGUUGGGAAGAUUGGACAAUGGGCGGAAGCCUGAGGCAGACAUGCUGCGUGUAUGAAGAAGGCCUUCGGGUUGUAAAGUACUUUCAGCGGGGAGGAAGGCGGUGAAGUUAAUAACUUCACCGAUUGACGUUACCCGCAGAAGAAGCACCGGAUAACUCCGUGCCAGCCGCCGCAGUAA